UUAACUCUCAAAUUUGUAAGGAGUUGGAACGUUUGCGUACGUUUACCGCUAGGGGCGCUGUUCCAACUGCAUAAAAAUGGGGUA
This 84-nucleotide microRNA precursor is filed under the name Bombyx mori (domestic silkworm). RNAcentral describes it as "mir-2807 microRNA precursor family". It matches the Rfam family "mir-2807 microRNA precursor family". The record is from Rfam by way of RNAcentral. Lineage: Eukaryota; Metazoa; Arthropoda; Insecta; Lepidoptera; Bombycidae.